CUACGGGCCGCAGCAGUGGGGAAUAUUGGACAAUGGGCGCAAGCCUGAUCCAGCCAUGCCGCGUGAGUGACGAAGGUCUUCGGAUUGUAAAGCUCUUUUGGCGGGGACGAUAAUGACGGUACCCGCAGAAUAAGCCCCGGCUAACUUCGUGCCAGCAGCCGCGGUAAUACGAAGGGGGCUGGCGUUGUUCGGAAUUACUGGGCGUAAAGCGCACGUAGGCGGAUUUGUAAGUCAGGGGUGAAAUCCCGGGGCUCAACCUCGGAACUGCCUUUGAUACUGCAAGUCUCGAGUCCGGAAGAGGUGAGUGGAAUUCCUAGUGUAGAGGUGAAAUUCGUAGAUAUUAGGAAGAACACCAGUGGCGAAGGCGGCUCACUGGUCCGGUACUGACGCUGAGGUGCGAAAGCGUGGGGAGCAAACAGGAUUAGAUACCCCGGUAGUC
RNAcentral lists this ribosomal RNA (439 nucleotides) under uncultured bacterium. RNAcentral describes it as "partial 16S ribosomal RNA". It matches the Rfam family "Bacterial small subunit ribosomal RNA", at positions 339 to 795 of the family's 1533-position model. The record is from RNAcentral.